AUUGAACGCUGGCGGCGUGCCUAACACAUGCAAGUCGAGCGGUAACAGGUGUAGCAAUACAUGCUGACGAGCGGCGAACGGGUGAGUAAUGCUUCGGAAUCUACCUUAUGGUGGGGAAUAACUAGCCGAAAGGUUAGCUAAUACCGCAUACGUCCUACGGGAGAAAGCAGGGGAUCGCAAGACCUUGCGCCAAAGGUUGAGCCGAAGUCGGAUUAGCUAGUUGGUAGGGUAACGGCCUACCAAGGCGACGAUCCGUAGCUGGUCUGAGAGGACGACCAGCCACACUGGGACUGAGACACGGCCCAGACUCCUACGGGAGGCAGCAGUGGGGAAUAUUGGACAAUGGGGGAAACCCUGAUCCAGCGACGCCGCGUGUGUGAAGAAGGCCUGCGGGUUGUAAAGCACUUUUAGUGGGGAUGAAAUGUGCAGGGUUAAUACCUCUGCAUUUUGACCUAACCCACAGAAAAAGCACCGGCUAACUCUGUGCCAGCCGCCGCAGUAA
RNAcentral lists this ribosomal RNA (502 nucleotides) under uncultured bacterium. RNAcentral describes it as "partial 16S ribosomal RNA". It matches the Rfam family "Bacterial small subunit ribosomal RNA", at positions 30 to 523 of the family's 1533-position model. The record is from RNAcentral.